This 385-nucleotide ribosomal RNA is filed under the name Telonemia sp. RNAcentral describes it as "partial small subunit ribosomal RNA". It matches the Rfam family "Eukaryotic small subunit ribosomal RNA", at positions 582 to 975 of the family's 1831-position model. The record is from RNAcentral. Lineage: Eukaryota; Telonemia.
AUUCCAGCUCCAAUAGCGUAUAUUAAAGUUGUUGCAGUUAAAAAGCUCGUAGUUGGAGUUCAGGGUGAGCUCAGCUGGUCGGCCUAAUGGGUCAGAACUGGUUGACUCUCCCUUGGUUGUGGAUCCCUCCGGAGUUAAUUCUUCGGGUGUGGAGUCCACAUCGUUUACCUUGAAAAAAUUAGAGUGUUCAAAGCAGGCGUUUGCUUGAAUAUAUUAGCAUGGAAUAAUGGAAUAGGACGCUGGUUCUAUUUUGUUGGUUUUGAGAACCAGAGUAAUGAUUAAUAGGGAUAGUUGGGGGCAUUAGUACUUAACUGUCAGAGGUGAAAUUCUCCGAUUUGUUAAAGACUAACUUAUGCGAAAGCAUUUGCCAAGGAUGUUUUCAUUG